Molecule: ribosomal RNA, 406 nt
Filed under: uncultured bacterium
Lineage: Bacteria
Description: partial 16S ribosomal RNA
Rfam family: Bacterial small subunit ribosomal RNA
Source: RNAcentral
AUUGAACGCUGGCGGCAGGCCUAACACAUGCAAGUCGAACGAGUGGCGGACGGGUGAGUAAUGUCUGGGAAACUGCCUGAUGGAGGGGGAUAACUACUGGAAACGGUAGCUAAUACCGCAUACCAUCAGAUGUGCCCAGAUGGGAUUAGCUAGUUGGUGGGGUAACGGCUCACCAAGGCGACGAUCCCGAGCUGGGCUGAGAGGAUGACAAGCAACACUGGAACUGAGAAACGGUCCAGCUUCGUACGGGAGGCAGCAGUGGGGAAUAUUGCACAAUGGGCGAAAGCAUGAUGCAGCCAUGCCGCGUGUAUGAAGAAGGCCUUCGGGUUGUAAAGUACUUUCAGCGGGGAGGCGUUACCCGCAGAAGAAGCACCGGCUAACUCCGUGCCAGCAGCCGCGGUAAUUC